This 215-nucleotide long non-coding RNA is filed under the name Anas platyrhynchos platyrhynchos (common mallard). RNAcentral's name for it is "lncRNA (ENSAPLG00000019340.1)". The record is from RNAcentral. Lineage: Eukaryota; Metazoa; Chordata; Aves; Anseriformes; Anatidae.
UGAUUCUAGUGUCACUACCACAGGUGUUCAUGAGAAAUUUCUUCCAAGUGGGUGCAAAAGACCUUUGGAUUAUUUUAGAAGUCUGAUCCUGCAUCACGGAAAUGAAAGGAUGAUUUGCCAGUACACUUAGUGUCAUUGUAUGAGACCAUACCAAUUCUUUUUCUGAAAAAUGUCAUUUGUAUAAAUGAAUUUGUGCAAGUUUAUUUCAAUAAUUC